GGAGGAUCCUGAGUACGGCGGAACACGAGAAAUUCCGUCGGAAUCCGCGGGGACCAUCCCGCAAGGCUAAAUACUCCCUAGUGACCGAUAGUGAACCAGUACCGUGAGGGAAAGGUGAAAAGCACCCCGGAAGGGGAGUGAAAUAGAUCCUGAAACCGUGUGCCUACAACAAGUCAAAGCUCGUUAAUGAGUGAUGGCGUGCCUUUUGUAGAAUGAACCGGCGAGUUACGAUUGCAUGCGAGGUUAAGUCGAAGAGACGGAGCCGCAGCGAAAGCGAGUCUGAAUAGGGCGAAUGAGUAUGUAGUCGUAGACCCGAAACCAUGUGAUCUACCCAUGUCCAGGUUGAAGGUGCGGUAAAACGCACUGGAGGACCGAACCCACGUACGUUGAAAAGUGCGGGGAUGAGGUGUGGGUAGCGGAGAAAUUCCAAACGAACUUGGAGAUAGCUGGUUCUCUCCGAAAUAGCUUUAGGGCUAGCCUCGGAAUUGAGAAUGAUGGAGGUAGAGCACUGUUUGGACUAGGGGCCCAUCUCGGGUUACCGAAUUCAGAUAAACUCCGAAUGCCAUUCAUUUAUAUCCGGGAGUCAGACUGCGAGUGAUAAGAUCCGUAGUCGA
Molecule: ribosomal RNA, 614 nt
Filed under: Enterococcus faecalis
Lineage: Bacteria; Bacillati; Bacillota; Bacilli; Lactobacillales; Enterococcaceae
Description: partial 23S ribosomal RNA
Rfam family: Bacterial large subunit ribosomal RNA
Source: RNAcentral